This is a long non-coding RNA of Myotis daubentonii (Daubenton's bat), 529 nucleotides long. RefSeq lists it as uncharacterized. The transcript has 3 exons. Lineage: Eukaryota; Metazoa; Chordata; Mammalia; Chiroptera; Vespertilionidae. The record is from RefSeq and is a predicted model, not a curated record.
CAACAGAUUAGCCCGUUAAGUACGAAGGGAACUGCGGUACAGCUGACGGGAGCAUCACUGGCUUUGCGAACAAACUGACUCCCCCGCAGCACACUGCCCCACAGUGACCAGGCAGGGACAAGCUCAAGUGGAAAGUCGAGCAUCGGCUUCGUAAAACGCAGGUGCCCAGCUGGAGACACUGGGAGGUUAAACGCUUGCUGAGGUCACUGCUGGCAAGUAGUGGAGUUAAGACUUAAACCCAGGCCCUUAGACUCCGGACUUGUGCCCCUGGCCGCUGCCUUCUCCUUCCUAAAGCUGCAUUUUCAUCCCUCAUCUCCUUUCAAGUGCUUUGGAUAGUGCCACACCGUGUCCUGGUGUCAUUUCAGACUCACAGAGAAAGGCUGAGGCUUCCUCCCAGGCUCCCUGGGGAAAUGCCUGGUGUGGACCAAGGAAGAUGACGGAAUCACAACUAUAAUUAACCGGGAUCGAAUGCUUCCUAUGUGCUGACGAGCGUUCCGUGGAUUAUUUCACUUCAGCCUCAGAGCAACUC